UGCCUCUCUUUCUGGGUUUUCAAAAUCCUCUCUCUCUUAAAGAAAAACCCUAAGAAAGAUCGUUCUUCAAGUUUCACUUCUAAGGCCUACUUUUGCAGAAACAUGACACCUCGGUUCAGCCAAGCAUUCAGUUGAUCAUCAUUGUUAUAUGUUCUUUCCAUUAUCUUUACCUUGAAAAGUUUGGAGCAGGUGGUUCCCAUAUUUCGUAUGCUGAAUUGUAGUUCAAUUUCGUUGUAGUUGUUCUUUUUCAUUUUUAAUACCUGCUGCUGAGACACUUGCAUGGGAAAAGAACUUGAAAUGCCAUUAAUGAUUUAUGGAGGUUAGAAGGAUGAACCUCAAAAUCCUAUUGUAAGGAACAGAAAUCUUUUUUGUGUUUUGCUUGAACUUUGACAUUGAACCAAAAUACAGAACUUGUAUUUGUGUGCAUGUACAACUCUUGCCUCGUACACAUUUCCCUUCACAUUUUUUUUUUUAAAAACAAAUGACUUGAUAAUAUACCCCUCUACGGCAACUAGUCUUUUAUUACUUUGUUUGUAAGGCUUUCACUCUUAUAGGCAAUUUUUCUGGAUGCGUUGGGAAAAAGUGGAGAAAGAUUGAUGUUUUGAAUAGCUUAAUACAGAUAAAACGAAGUAGGCAUCUGAGGUAAUAAUUUUUUUUUGUUUCUUCUACACUGAUAAUAUGAUCUGCUUGGUCUAGUCACUUUGUAGUUGUCUCCCAUCUCUUUUUCAUGGUGGGUAUUCUUGUUAAGAUACACGGUUGUUAUUAGUGUUUUCUUUUCGUUGCCACCAUCAUAAUACCUAGUGAAGCUAGUUUCUUUAUCACAUUUAGCUGCAUAGUUUCAUGUUGCUCUCCCUCCAUUUGUCUUAUUGUCUCUGCUUCGAGAGGGAAGAGUAGGUGCAUGGAUUAUUGAGAGGGGUUAAUAUAGGAGGAAUGAUUUGCUGAAUUGAAGAAUCAAGUUUUUCUAUUGUUAUUGGAGAUUUUUAUUUACUGGUAUACAGCUCACUUAUAAAAUCCCUCUCUAAAUUUUUUAA
This is a long non-coding RNA of Populus euphratica (Euphrates poplar), 1031 nucleotides long. RefSeq lists it as uncharacterized. The transcript has 3 exons. Lineage: Eukaryota; Viridiplantae; Streptophyta; Magnoliopsida; Malpighiales; Salicaceae. The record is from RefSeq and is a predicted model, not a curated record.